UUGUAUAAACUGGAGGUGCACAGUACAUACUGUAAUGUUAAAUGACUGACUCAGUUAACUAAACUUACUGGAGGCCUUAAUUCUCUUCAUGUCAGCGCUCCUUUGUGCUUUCUUUUUUGCCAUUUUCUCUGAUUAUCUUGACUUUUACCCCCUCCCCACGUUUUCACUUUCGAAACUUUUUGUUCAUAUAUGCAGCUUCCAGUACUACGAACAGUUAACAAUCUCAUUGUUGGUGCCAAAAGAAGGACCUGGAGAGACGGGGAACGUGGAGAGUGUUGAGUCUUGAAAAACGUGAUGUCGGAGAGAUCAGUGCCAGUAUUUAACUACGGCAAGGUCUACAACAUAACUGAUAUAAUAUGCUGGGAGGGUGGUGGGCUACGUUAGGUGCCAUUGUGUUGCUUUGGCUGCGGACUGCAAGAAGUUGUGCUUGGCAUGAGGCCCAGAAGCAAGACUCUGUUUCAUGCAACCCACCUCUUCCCCAUCUCCCCAUCAGCUCUAUUGAAACCUCAGUCUUCAUCUUCGCUACCACCAGCUUCUAGACUGGGGAGGGUGGUGUCCUAAGUCCUAUCACCACUGGAAUUCCUUUUUUAAAUCUCCAAAUACAUUAAUCCCUCUAUCACAAUAAAUCAUGUUAACUUCUUCCAA
This is a long non-coding RNA of Neolamprologus brichardi, 645 nucleotides long. RefSeq lists it as uncharacterized. Lineage: Eukaryota; Metazoa; Chordata; Actinopteri; Cichliformes; Cichlidae. The record is from RefSeq and is a predicted model, not a curated record.